RNAcentral lists this ribosomal RNA (444 nucleotides) under uncultured bacterium. Its description in RNAcentral is "partial 16S ribosomal RNA". It matches the Rfam family "Bacterial small subunit ribosomal RNA", at positions 354 to 796 of the family's 1533-position model. The record is from RNAcentral.
GUAGGGAAUAUUGGGCAAUGGUCGGAGGACUGACCCAGCCAUGCCGCGUGCAGGAAGACGGCCCUCUGGGUUGUAAACUGCUUUUAUCUGGGAAGAAAAAGGCCAUGCGUGGCAAAUUGCCGGUACCAGAUGAAUAAGCACCGGCUAACUCCGUGCCAGCAGCCGCGGUAAUACGGAGGGUGCGAGCGUUGUCCGGAUUUAUUGGGUUUAAAGGGUGCGUAGGCGGCUGAUUAAGUCAGCGGUGAAAGACUUCGGCUUAACCGGAGCAGUGCCGUUGAUACUGGUUGGCUUGAGUGUCGGAGGGGUACAUGGAAUUGAUGGUGUAGCGGUGAAAUGCAUAGAUACCAUCAGGAACACCGAUAGCGAAGGCAUUGUACUGGCCGACAACUGACGCUGAUGCACGAAAGUGUGGGGAUCGAACAGGAUUAGAAACCCGGGUAGUCC